Long non-coding RNA from Dermacentor silvarum, 356 nucleotides. RefSeq lists it as uncharacterized. The record is from RefSeq and is a predicted model, not a curated record. Lineage: Eukaryota; Metazoa; Arthropoda; Arachnida; Ixodida; Ixodidae. The transcript is spliced from 3 exons.
UAGAACUUCACAGGGAGCACUUUAUUCUCUCAGUACAUUAGAGACCAUUCUGACAGAUCCAUUACCCCAAGUGGGGAAUAAUUGCUUUAAACAAGCAAACAUCGUUUGGAAGGCACGAAGAAAAAAUACUUGUGACAUCAACGGAGUUCCACAAUGCUGCCUCCAGCGCCAGUAAUUUAUAUGUGUGUUAUCUUGUUCUUUGGAUGGUGGGCUGCAGGUGCAAUCUCUGCAAACCCGAAAGCUGAAACGCUCGAUAAGGCCCAUGAUCAUCCAGGUGAUUGGAUAGAGGAAAAAUAUCCCGAUGACGAUUGGAGUGUAAAUCUCGCGGUGGAUAAUGAGCUUGCUUUGCAAGUGAU